UUCAAGCGUUUACAUGGUAAUUUUUUGCUGUUGGAUCGGAUUAGAAAAGGAAUAGACCACCCCUUCCAAUCCGAUCGAAAUUUCAUUCGGAUCGAGCUCAAUCGGAUCGAUUAAGGUGUUUACAUGAAAGUUUUUCAAUCCGAUUGAGCCAUCAAUUACAAUUGUAUUAUUUGGGUGCAUGUAAACGUAGCCAGUUUGUGCAACAGCAACAAGGUGCGGGUCCAAACCCAUCUGUCAAGACGCUUGUCCACUUGCUGUCCGCCCCACCAGCCCAACGAUUGUGCUGGAGAGCCUCUGACCACAAGUCACAG
This is a long non-coding RNA of Megalobrama amblycephala (Wuchang bream), 311 nucleotides long. RefSeq lists it as uncharacterized. The record is from RefSeq and is a predicted model, not a curated record. The transcript is spliced from 2 exons. NCBI's taxonomy places the organism in Eukaryota, Metazoa, Chordata, Actinopteri, Cypriniformes, Xenocyprididae.